This 5017-nucleotide long non-coding RNA is filed under the name Mytilus galloprovincialis (Mediterranean mussel). The record is from RNAcentral. Lineage: Eukaryota; Metazoa; Mollusca; Bivalvia; Mytilida; Mytilidae.
CUGGUAUGUUGUUAUGGAUUAUAACCAAAGGUAUGUUUCUUUUCGUAAAAUUUUUUCUUUUUUCUUAUAAUAAAAAGUUCUAUUAUUCUUAUUCAAGGCAUAGAUUUCCUUAGCCGUAUUUGGCACAACUGUUUGGAAUUUUGGAUCCUCAAUGCUCUUCAACUUUGUAAUUGUUUGGCUUUAUAAAUAUUUUGAUAUGAGCGUCACUGAUGAGUCUUAUGUAGACGAAACGCGCGUCUGGCGUACUAAAUUAUAAUCCUGGUACCUUUGAUAACUACUAUGAUAGGAUUUUUGAAUCAUUAAUAUGUGAUGAGUGAGAGUACCCAAACAACAAGUUACAGAACAUAAGAAAAGAUUCGAAACGCGCGUAUGGCACAUUAAGUUGAAAGCUUGGUAUCGGUAAAGAGUUUUUUUUACAGUUGAUGUGUUUCACUGGGUUUUAAUUUGUAACCCGGAUUUGUAUUCUCGUAAUCGAUUUAUGACUUUUGAACAGCGGUGUACUACUGUUUCCAUUUUUAUACAACCGGUUCGAAACGAUAACUCCCUUAUCAACUGUCAAAAUCAAAAGUUCAUACACAUCAAACGAAUGGACAACAACUGUCAUAUUCCUAACUUGGUACACGAAUUUCUGAACUUUCAUCCUUGAGGGUAUCACCAACUCAAUUGUUAAUGCUCUUGUGCUGAUAAGAAAUUUUUUUGUAACAUCUUUUACCUUUUUGCAAAGGUUUGAACCAGGAUCUUGAAUUUUUAGUUUUCAAUGGUAUUUAACUUCGUAUUUAAUUUGGCUUUCCAACUAUUUAAUCUAAGUGCCACUGAAAAGCAGCCUUGUGUGAUUAACACCAGUCUACUGUUCUAAAUCAUAAACAUGGUAUAUUUUACGAGGUUUUACAAUAUUUGGUCUAUACUAAUUAUGUUGAACGUUUACGUCCACAAGGGUAUCAUAAACUCAACUGUUAGCAUUCUUAUGGUGACAUGGAAUAUCAUUAAUACGUCAUAUUUGUAAAUUAACUGUUCAGUAAACCUUUUUUUAAAGAAAGUUACGCAAAACGAAAUAUUUGAAGAACAUUACUAUCAGUAGAUGGGUCACUGUAAUCAGUAGCUCUCAUUUGUCUUAUAAACACUUAUUAUUUCAAUACUUUUAUAUUGGUCUUGUGAGACAUUAUAUAACUUGUAUUACAUACUAGUAGCAUGUUGAGCAAAACUAUAUUUUAAAACAAUACAUUGAUGUUCAAUAGUUCUCAAUUACAGAAUUGUUUUAACAGAUUAUGGAAAAAUGUGCAUUUGAUUGGAUCUAUAGGAACUUUAUACUAAUAAUUUGUUUAGUAAGUUAGUAUUUAUUUGUGUUUAUUUGAAUUGGUGUUGUGACUGGUGAUAUUACUUUUUAAUACGAUUUCAUUUUUUUCAUUCGAAAUAUUUUCUUACAUAUGCAAUGAUACAACUGGUUGAAUACAAUGUGUUUUUCAUUUCUGUUUAAUAUAUUAAGUAAUUCUAUAUAAGUAUGAUGCUUCAUAUAAAGUUCUGCAGUAACCAUUAUUCUGUCAGUAUAAAAUUGAUAUCAUAGGAUUUUUUACUAUAAAAGUUUGAAAAGCAACCUUUAAAUAAUCUUUUUUUCACUAAUCUUAGGCUCUUGUGGUUUUCACGAACGACGAAUCUCAACAGUAUAGUUACGGUAUGUGUACAUUUAUAAUAGAAUAAAAAAGCUAUUCAGAGUAAUUGAAUUUUAAUUUGAAAUCAUGUUUUAUCUAUGAUCCGAGGACCCUCAGCUCCAUGUUUGAUCAUGUUUCAUAUCAGAUAGGAAUUUACGGAAAAACAUUCACGUUUAUCAAAGACUUUAAGUACUAUAGUCAAAUAAACUUGGUGGAGUGAAAGGGUGUGUGGUGGUUAUGGGUCCUAUGAUCCGGACUAUAAAUCAGUUCCAGAUCUACAUGUGGCUUCAGUCGUGUUGAUCAUGCAAGAAAAACAUCCGGUUAAAAAUCUCAUUCGGUCAUACUUAAAUCGAGGUAUAGAGAAAGGGAUUGUGAUUCCGGGAUAUGGACAUAUCCAUGGUCAUCUGUGACACAGAUAUUGCAUAACAUCCAUCGAAAUUCAAAUUCAUGAUAAGAAUUGGAAUAUAUAUAAUACACUUUUAAUAAUAUAAAAAUUGUAGUCUUAUUCAUUUCGAAUUAAUUAUUAUUUAGGUUUUUAAUUUGCUUAAUUAUGAUAUCUAUCGAUGACUGCUUUGCAAUAAUAGAUAUUUGAAACACUUAUAUACAAACGAUUCCUGAAAAUUGGCACUUCAUGAUAUCUGUGUCUGGCUAUCUGUAUGCGUAUUUACAAUAAGAUCGGAAGUUCCUUGUUUUAUUAACUCACAGUUUUGUACGUUCGAUCAGUUUGACUUAGUUUUAUGAGACAUUUCUUCGGAUAUACUAUAAUGUUUGGAUACACAUGUACCAAGUGUCCAUUCUUACCAUUAUCACAUUUUCAUAUCUAGACAGGUUGCCGUGCGAAAAGAGUGAAGUGAAGAAAUGACAUUUUAUAUGAAUUUCUACUAUGCAAACAUAUGGCUGAGCCCAGUAGUCAGCACUUCUGUGUUGACUUGAGUUAUCAUUGCUUUUUUCAUAAUUAUAAAUUAACUGUUAACAAAAUUUUGAAUUUUUGAAAAACUAAGGCUUUUCUAUCUCAGGAAUAGACUACCUUAGCUGUAUUUUGCCAAACUUUUAGGAAUUUUUGGUCUUCAAUGCUCUUCAACUUCGUACUUUAUUUGGCCUUUAAAACAUUUCUUGAUUCGAGCGUCACUGAUGAAUCUUUUGUAGAGGAAACGCGCGUCUGGCGUACCUAUAAAAUUUUAAUCCUGGUAUCUAUGAUGAGUUUAUUUGAAUUCAUUAGUCAUUAAUUUAGGCAAUAUCCCUUCAUCAUAAAUUAGUAAAAUCUAAACUUCUACCCUAUUUAAAAAAAAAUUCCCAAUACCACAUCUAUUGUUAAUAAAAUACAUAACUACAAAUAUGCAAGAUCUCGAUGUUGACGACUUUAAAUCUAAGACACCAGAUUGUGAAAGUUUUCCAUUAUACAUAAUUAUACGUAAUUCAAAGUUACAACUAGUGACCUACACAUUGUCAAGAUCAUUUCUUUGUGAAAUUUGUUAGCCAAAGUGCCGAAAUAGCUUAAGUCUUGAAUCUAAAUUUAUGAAGUGGAAACACAAAUUUAAAAUAUUGUUUUAUUCAGCAAAAGAUUACGUCAGGCAAUAAGAUAUGUGAUUGAUAUUAGUGAAUAAAUGAGUUAAGACUGUGAGGUUGCUUAUAAAAAUCAAAAGCAAAUACUUAAUUGGUCUUCUGUGCUAUAUCUUCAAGUAACUACAUAGUGCUACGUAAUUCUCCUUCCUCAUAGACUAAUAUGUCAUUUUCCUGACUUGGUACAGAACAUUCUAAGAAAAAAAAAUUAGUUGGUUGAACCUGGUUUUGAGGCUAACGAAACCUAGUGCUAUAAACGGUACCAACUGUAAUGCACCAGAUCCGAUGUCGAUAAAAACUUGUUUCUUCAGUGAUGUUCGAGGCCAAUAUACUAGAAUUUCCAAAAUCUUACCAAAAGGACAUAAAAAUAGCUAAAUUUGGACAAGGAAUCACAGGCUUGCUUUAGGAAGACAUAUUCCAUAAUAAAUAAUCUAAAAAAAAUAAUACAAAAACAAAUCUUAAUAAAACAAUAUCCAAAGUUCAUGCCAGUACUGGUAAUCUGGUAAUGGUAGACCCAUUAAGACUAAUAGUCCUUUAGAAGAGGUAUCAAACCCAGUGGUAGUAUUAGCAUAACCGGUACGCAUUUCGACAAAAAAGUCUCUUCUGUAACUUCACCACUAGGUAAAUAGUAUGAUAUUGACCUAAUACGAUAUAUAUGGGAUCAGUAAAUUCCAUAUUGAUUGAGCCCGAAGCUUCCGGUGAUAACUAAAAAUGGAUGAUAUACAGUUGUAAUUCUACCGAAGUAGAUUUAUCACCAAAUUAUCGAAACACGACAGGUGCUACAUAAUCUGCAUACCCUUCCGAAAUACCUGACGUCACAAGUGGUUAUUGUUGAGGUACGCGUUGUUCAAUCUUUUGUUGUGUUUUGUAGACUGUCAUAUGACUUUCGCUCGAUUUUCUUUAUUUUUACCAAGAUGUCAGUUUGUCAUCGUUUUAUGAAUUUGUUUAACCCUUUAGUAUCUUUUGCGUGCCUCUCUUUGAUAAAUGGUGUCCUGUCACUGAAUAAUUUAAAAACAAGUUACUAUUUAGAAUAACAAUAUUGUUACUACUCUCAUUGCAAUCAUUUUAUCCCAUUGAACUUGAAAUGAAGGAUAUCAAUUUAACGAUACUAUAACGUUUGCUGCAUAUCUUGACUUGCAUCUAGAAAUUGACAAGGAAGAUCAGCAGAGAACUUAACUCUACUAGAAAAAAGAUCGUUUUAGUUUUUAUUUUCAGUUGUGAAAUUUCCAUCUGUAGUGCAGCUGGGCAUAUAAAGUAUGCUAGUAUAUCUCCAAGUUGAAACAAUAUUUCAAAUCUUCUGUUUGCUUCCAACUUUUCCCUGAUAGCGGAUCGCUAUGUACGAGGAAGUUUUCAAACCAACGGUUUUAUAUAUUGUUUAGAUGAAAUGAAUUGAAUGGUCUGUAUAAAAUAUCGACUGCAAUUGUCCUAGAUGUCGUGGACAAAAUACCGUCCUCAUUUAUCCGAUAACGACAUCAUCUGCAUCUUUUUUUACUUGUAGUGUUUUUGUUUAUAAUAUAUUCGUCAUUUUUAAAAUGUUUUUUGGUACUUGUUAUCUAUUUUUUAUUUUCCCCAAGUAUCUUCCUGCCAUUUUUAAAGAAACGUAUAUUUUUUCAUUCUGUUUUGUAUAAUUUCAAGAAUGCAACGAAAACGGAGACAUAACAUUACUAGGAUUAUUGCAAAAUUCACUAGUGACUACCAAAGAAGUAACUUAUAAAAAAGGAUCGUCAGUCUUUCCAAACUGCAAUUUUACAGCAGAUCAAUAUGGUCAUGUGAUAAUCAAUAGAAGUUGUACAAAUGAUAUUACAGAACUG